AUUGAACGCUGGCGGAAUGCUUUACACAUGCAAGUCGAGCGGCAGCGCGGGGGCAACCCUGGCGGCGAGCGGCGAACGGGUGAGUAACAUAUCGGAACGUACCCUGUCGUGGGGGAGUAACUAUCCGAAAGGAUAGCUAAUACCGCAUACGACCUGAGGGUGAAAGCGGGGGAGUCGCAAGACCUCGCGCGAUAGGAGCGGCCGAUAUCGGAUUAGCUAGUUGGUGGGGUAAAGGCUCACCAAGGCGACGAUCCGUAGCUGGUCUGAGAGGACGACCAGCCACACUGGAACUGAGACACGGUCCAGACUCCUACGGGAGGCAGCAGU
RNAcentral lists this ribosomal RNA (327 nucleotides) under uncultured bacterium. RNAcentral describes it as "bacterial SSU rRNA". It matches the Rfam family "Bacterial small subunit ribosomal RNA", at positions 29 to 355 of the family's 1533-position model. The record is from RNAcentral.